RNAcentral lists this ribosomal RNA (497 nucleotides) under uncultured bacterium. RNAcentral's name for it is "partial 16S ribosomal RNA". It matches the Rfam family "Bacterial small subunit ribosomal RNA", at positions 28 to 507 of the family's 1533-position model. The record is from RNAcentral.
GAUGAACGCUGGCGGCGUGCCUAAUACAUGCAAGUCGAGCGAACAGACGAGGAGCUUGCUCCUCUGACGUUAGCGGCGGACGGGUGAGUAACACGUGGAUAACCUACCUAUAAGACUGGGAUAACUUCGGGAAACCGGAGCUAAUACCAGAUAAUAUAUUGAACCGCAUGGUUCAAUAGUGAAAGACGGUUUUGCUGUCACUUAUAGAUGGAUCCGCGCCGCAUUAGCUAGUUGGUAAGGUAACGGCUUACCAAGGCGACGAUGCGUAGCCGACCUGAGAGGGUGAUCGGCCACACUGGAACGGAGACACGGUCCAGACUCCUACGGGAGGCAGCAGUAGGGAAUCUUCCGCAGUGGGCGAAAGCUUGACGGAGCAACGCCGCGUGAGUGAUGAAGGUCUUCGGAUCGUAAAACUCUGUUAUUAGGGAAGAACAAAUGUGUAAGUAACUAUGCACGUCUUGACGGUACCUAAUCAGAAAGCCACGGCUAACUACGUG